Molecule: ribosomal RNA, 1372 nt
Filed under: marine metagenome
Description: bacterial LSU rRNA
Rfam family: Bacterial large subunit ribosomal RNA
Source: RNAcentral
AAGCAGGUUAAUAUUCCUGCACCAGCUGGAAGUGACGGAUGAAGUAAAUUGUGAGUUAUUACUGGAUUGAACUUGCAGUGAAUUUGUCCCUGGAAAUAGCUCCAGCAUUAGACCGUACCAAAACCGACACAGGUAGGAAGGUAGAGUAUACCAAGGCGCUUGAGAGAACUAUGUUGAAGGAACUCGGCAAAUUACACUUGUAACUUCGGGAUAAAAGUGACCUGCUAUUGGGCAACCAGUAGGAGGUGGCACAGAAGAGGGGGUAGCGACUGUUUACUAAAAACAUAGCACUAUGCAAAGUCGAGAGACGACGUAUAUGGUGUGACGCCUGCCCGGUGCCGGAAGGUUAAUAGGAGGGGUGCAAGCUCCGAAUUGAAGCCCCGGUGAACGGCGGCCGUAACUAUAACGGUCCUAAGGUAGCGAAAUUCCUUGUCGGGUAAGUUCCGACCUGCACGAAUGGCGUAACGAUUUCCCCACUGUCUCCAACAUAGACUCAGUGAAAUUGAAUUCUCGGUUAAGAUGCCGAGUAACCGUGGUUAGACGGAAAGACCCCGUGCACCUUUACUGCAGCUUUGUAUUGGUAUUAGGGGACAGAUGUGUAGCAUAGGUGGGAGACUUUGAAGGAUUGGCGCUAGCCAGUCUGGAGUCACCAGUGAAAUACCACUCUUCUGUUCCUUGAUGCCUAACCAUACACCGUUAUCCGGUGUUGGGACCAUGCAUGGUGGGCAGUUUGACUGGGGCGGUCGCCUCCCAAAGAGUAACGGAGGCGCGCGAUGGUAGGCUCAGGUUGGUCGGAAAUCAACUGUGAGAGUGCAAUGGCAUAAGCCUGCCUGACUGCGAGACUGACAAGUCGAGCAGAGACGAAAGUCGGUCAUAGUGAUCCGGUGGUCCCGCGUGGAAGGGCCAUCGCUCAACGGAUAAAAGGUACGCCGGGGAUAACAGGCUGAUCUCUCCCAAGAGUCCAUAUCGACGGGGAGGUUUGGCACCUCGAUGUCGGCUCAUCGCAUCCUGGGGCUGAAGCAGGUCCCAAGGGUUUGGCUGUUCGCCAAUUAAAGCGGUACGCGAGCUGGGUUUAGAACGUCGUGAGACAGUUCGGUCCCUAUCUGCCAUGGUUGUGGAAGCUUGAGAGGAUCUGCCCUUAGUACGAGAGGACCGGGGUGGACGUACCUCUGGUGUACCUAUUGUAGCGCCAGCUGCAUCGUAGGGUAGCUAUGUACGGAAUGGAUAACCGCUGAAAGCAUCUAAGCGGGAAGCCAACCUCAAAACUAGGCUUCGUUAUAGGAUCGUGGAAGACUACCACGUUGAUAGGCUGGGUGUGGAAGUGUGGUAACACAUGAAGCUAACCAGUACUAAUAAUCCAAUGCUUGAAUUA